GGAGCAUGUGGUUUAAUUCGAAGCAACGCGAAGAACCUUACCAGGUCUUGACAUCCUUUGACCACUCGAGAGAUCGAGCUUUCCCUUCGGGGACAAAGUGACAGGUGGUGCAUGGUUGUCGUCAGCUCGUGUCGUGAGAUGUUGGGUUAAGUCCCGCAACGAGCGCAACCCUUAUUACUAGUUGCCAGCAUUCAGUUGGGCACUCUAGUGAGACUGCCGGUGACAAACCGGAGGAAGGUGGGGAUGACGUCAAAUCAUCAUGCCCCUUAUGACCUGGGCUACACACGUGCUACAAUGGAUGGUACAACGAGUCGCGAAGUCGUGAGGCCAAGCUAAUCUCUUAAAGCCAUUCUCAGUUCGGAUUGUAGGCUGCAACUCGCCUACAGAAGCNNNNCGC
This 397-nucleotide ribosomal RNA is filed under the name Carnobacterium sp. AZTITEMP79. Its description in RNAcentral is "bacterial SSU rRNA". It matches the Rfam family "Bacterial small subunit ribosomal RNA", at positions 934 to 1326 of the family's 1533-position model. Lineage: Bacteria; Bacillati; Bacillota; Bacilli; Lactobacillales; Carnobacteriaceae. The record is from RNAcentral.